GUGACACACAAAUUCGUGAAGCGUGCCUCCUC
Molecule: non-coding RNA, 32 nt
Filed under: Mus musculus (house mouse)
Lineage: Eukaryota; Metazoa; Chordata; Mammalia; Rodentia; Muridae
Source: RNAcentral